RNAcentral lists this transfer RNA (74 nucleotides) under Formivibrio citricus. RNAcentral describes it as "tRNA_Cys_GCA". It matches the Rfam family "tRNA". Rfam says of the family: Transfer RNA (tRNA) molecules are approximately 80 nucleotides in length. The record is from RNAcentral. RNAcentral also lists the same sequence under 1 other name. Lineage: Bacteria; Pseudomonadati; Pseudomonadota; Betaproteobacteria; Neisseriales; Chitinibacteraceae.
GGCGGGUUAGCAAAGAGGUUAUGCAGCGGAUUGCAAAUCCGUUUAGGGCGGUUCGAUUCCGCCACCCGCCUCCA